Molecule: long non-coding RNA, 2589 nt
Filed under: Trifolium pratense (red clover)
Lineage: Eukaryota; Viridiplantae; Streptophyta; Magnoliopsida; Fabales; Fabaceae
Description: long non-coding RNA (TPRA_LNC003081)
Source: RNAcentral
GGUAGGGUUACCUUACUAAAAUCACCCAAAAAAAGAAAAAACAAUUUUGAUAGAAAGUUUCCUUGAAUAAAUUAAUUGAGCAUAACCCACGCAACUAACUACUUUCCUUCUAAGAAGCUCUUGUUCUUCAAUAAUGUGUACCCUUCAAUUUCAACUUCAACCCAUCAUCAAUCAAUUUCCACAUAUUCUUUGAAACCCUUCCAAUUCAUCUCUCUCUCUCUCUAUGGCAAUGGCACUUAACGCUGCUAUCUAUAUCGUUAAGAUGACUUGGAUAGCUCUCAGUGGUUGGAUCACUUCUUGCUUAACUAUUGCUGAUGAAUUCGCUACUUCUCUUCGUUCUGGUGAUAUUGGUCCUUUUCAUGUUGGUUAAUUCUAUUUCCCUUUUCUGGGUAUGCUCCAAGUUUUUUAAUUUACAACUACCCUUCAAUCUACACUUCUUUUCAUGUAUUGGGUCGUUGUGAUUAGUGUGUUUCAGGGUGAAAUUUUUGUUUUUUAGUUAGUGGGUGAUGGGUUUGUUAUUUGGGGUUUCCUUAAAAUUGAGGAAUUAGGUUUGGUAAAUUGUUUAAGGUUGUCUGUUAUAGCUUUUUAGGUUACUUGUUAUUAAAAGGGUUUACUCAUAAAUUCAAUUACAAUCAUAAUCCUUUGAUUCUCAGCUCUUAACUUGUUAGUAGUUCAUAUUUGAUUAGAUGAUGGAGUUAUGUAAAUUGGCAAUUUAAAUUGAUUCAUGGAUAUCAUAAGAGUGGUGAUUUACUAUGUUUAUUCAUUUUUAUGUUAUUUAGUUUGUUAAAUAUGUACACUUUGAGGUGUUAGCACAGUGGUAAGAGUUUAGGUUCGUAACUUCAAGAUAUUGAGUUCAAAUUGCCUCGGAUAUAGUUGUAAAAUGGUGUGUCACUUUAAUUAUAUUUUGGUGUAGUAGCUGCAUUGAGUUAGACCAUGAGCUAUCAUAAAUAUUUUUUGAACAAGAGCUAUCAUAAAUAUUGUUUUCUGUAUAUUAUGUUUAGCUUUGAGGGUAAGUUCUGCAAGUGUUCUUUUUUAGUUCUGUAAGUUAAAUAGUCAUGUAAAAGGAAAGAAAGACGGUUAAAUUGAUAUUUGAAGGAUGCCAAUGCUACAUAGACUAUAUGUAUGAGUCAAGAUGUAUUACACAAGAUCCCACUUGGGGUUGGUCUAGUGGUGUUGACUUGGGUCCUUGGAGUAUGCUCCUCCAAGGUCUCAGGUUCGAUUCCCCCUGGUGCCAAUUUUGGUGGGCUAAGUCCAUACAGGGCAAAAAAACUCUGGCUUUAAAUGGGGCCCCGCAAGUGGGCGGUGGGAUUGGUCCCCUUGGAUUAGUCGGGCCUAAGGCCGGAUACCAUGUUUAAAAAAAAAAAAGAUGAAUUACGCAAGACAUUGUUAUGUUGAUAUCAAAUUUGUACCACAAAGUAGAGAAUGAUUAGUGCCCCAAACUAUGUUGUUUCUAGAUCAAUAGGAACUAGACAGAAGGCACUUUGAAAAGCCCCUAUCUUAUGCGAUACCAGUAACACAGCCAUUUCAAGAAAGGGAACCUGAUUAUUGUAACCCCUUUAUUAAUAUCUUAACAGCAUGUAUUCUAUAAACUUAAGCUAUAUGAAACACAGAUACCAACACCGCAAACACAACAUUGAUACUAACACGUAGACACCGAUAGUAAUUUUUAAAAAUGGAAGGGAUUGAAUGUAAUUAAUGUGUCGUAGUCGUGUUGGUGUUAGACACUAGACAUACCUUCAAUCAGUGGUGUCAUUGCUUACAUAGACUAUAAGUCAAGAUGAAUUACAUAAGACACUGUUCUGUCAAUAUCAGAUUUGUGCCACACAGUAGAGAAUGAGAAAGAUAUAAUGCCUCUAAUAGUGAAUUUAGUGUUUGUUUGAGUAUUGAAUUGUUGUAAUAUUGUAUUUGUUUGAGUAGCAAUAUCAGUUUGUUUGAACAUGACAAACUGGCAGAUCACCUUAUCUGAAAUUUUAAGACUGGGAUCCAAUUGGAGCUUUACAUGAUUUAGUAACAUUUUACAACAGACAUUCUAAAUAACAUAUCUUUUGAAAUGCUUUUAUAUUUAGUAGUUAGUGGUAGCCAAUACAUGUCUUUAACCAUUUUCAUGUUAUCUUAUGGAGUUUCUAAUUAUGAAAGUCAUUACAUUUCAAACAUUGCUUUUUACAUGGUCCUACCAAGGUAAAUGUGGAUACUGUGUUACACAACAUUGUCAUUUUUGUCAUAAAGAUUAGACAAUAUUUUUCCUUUGCAUUUAUGCCUAACCAACCACAACACUGUUUCUAAACAAAGGCGAAAGGCCAUUUUACGGUAUACAGACAAGUAGGGUAAUAAACUGUUGCUUGCAAUUUCAGUUCAGCUAAAUGAAUAAUGAAUACUCUUUAUGUCUUCACUUUCAACUGAGCUAUUUGUCUAGUCAACAUGAUAAUUUUCAUUUUUUAUUAGGAAGAGGAUGAGGAUCCAUAACAGUAACUUCAUAUAUUGAGGCUCUUAUAGUAGCUGGCACAUUUCACUCAAAUCAUAUUAAGGUUUUUCUGGUGUAUCUUUUAUGUUUAGCAAUUUGACUGGUGUGAUUAUGUGGCACUAUGAANN